RNAcentral lists this transfer RNA (71 nucleotides) under Sphaerodactylus townsendi. RNAcentral describes it as "tRNA-Leu". It matches the Rfam family "tRNA". From Rfam's summary of the family: Transfer RNA (tRNA) molecules are approximately 80 nucleotides in length. Lineage: Eukaryota; Metazoa; Chordata; Lepidosauria; Squamata; Sphaerodactylidae. The record is from RNAcentral.
GGGGCUAUGUUUGUGGUUGAGGCGCUCUGCUUGGUAUGCAGAAGGUCCAGGUUCAAUCCCUGGUAUCUCCA